ACGUGGCGGACGUCAAGAAGA
This 21-nucleotide unclassified non-coding RNA is filed under the name Chlamydomonas reinhardtii. RNAcentral's name for it is "small RNA Cre_0358". The record is from RNAcentral. Lineage: Eukaryota; Viridiplantae; Chlorophyta; Chlorophyceae; Chlamydomonadales; Chlamydomonadaceae.